Molecule: long non-coding RNA, 2019 nt
Organism: Bos taurus (domestic cattle)
Lineage: Eukaryota; Metazoa; Chordata; Mammalia; Artiodactyla; Bovidae
Source: Ensembl
GUCCUAUCCCCCUUGUUUUACAGGUGGCAAAACAGACCUAGAGGACGGGGAGGCACAGCUAGAAAUCGGAGACCUUGCUGCUAAAAUAACCCCUUCUGGUUUAUCUCCCCCACACUCUUUCCUAAAGAAAAACUAAGAGUGUGCGGUGUGUGUGUGCGUGGGGGGUGGGGGAAUGAAACUCUGUCCAUUCUUAGGUUUGUAACAGCCUCAAAAUUACGGAAUCUAUUUAAGGUAAACCUGAUGCUGCCCAUUGUCCAAUGCCUAACACAAAUCAAGCUUAUGGAAAAAGAAUAUUAAAAUUUCCACGUUUUCCCUCGGGUCUGGAACCCCAGGAUUCAAGGGAGAAUUAAACAUUUUCCUCUCCCAUUCCCUUUCUCUUCCGAAGUCCGUAAAUGACAACGUGUUUACACAAGUUUUUAUGUCGUCUGAGCUUCGCCCCGGCCCCGCUUCCUCCUCUGUGUAUGUUCCGCGCAGAGAGAUGUCUGCUUCAGGACGCGUUCAACCUAAACAGAACCCCGUCUGAUUGGAAAAUGUAUUUAUUUGAAAAAUCGUAACUCACAGCUUUGGUGAAAACGGCCCCCAAAUUUAUGGGAUGGCUUGGGGCGCGGCGGUCGUAAAUUAAAAAGCACUGGACAACCCCCUCCCCCAAUCCCCGCAGCGGCACCAGUCAGGUUCUCAGGAGCACCCAGAGACUAGCCCCCUCCCGGCUCCACCCCGCCGCACUCUUCAGCCUCUGCUCCAAUCUCUUGCUGUGGGUAAGUGGCUGUGUUAACAGGCAGGUGGAUUUCAUUCUGGUUCCUUUCACCCAGUCAAGUUAAUUUCAGGGUAGCCUCACUGAGAACGGUUUCAGGUGGUCGGUUAACAGUGAACAGUGUUCUGUUGUGCACCCAUCUGUUUUAGGCAUCUCGGGUUUUCUCUUUAAGUACACGCUGGUAAAUUUCGUGGUAGUGGGCUGCUUGUCCCUAGUCCCCAACCGAGUGAUCAGUGGUGUGCCAGGCUGUCUCAUGCCAAGAGGUUUAUCUCUGGUCAGUGUCAUGAAGGUCAGUUUCAUCGGCGACUGCUGCUGCCCAGGUCUGGGAAAUUUUUUCCUUUCAGUCCAAUCUGAAUUCCCCUGGAGGAUGGAGUCAACACAUUCCGCCUAGUUGCGCGAUCCUUCAGCCAGCCUGCGCCAGCUGAGGACUAGGAUUAGAGGUUGGAACUGCGAGCACGUCCUGGGGAACAGGAGCCGCGGCCGCCAGAGGUGGGGAGCCGCGUAGUCCAGGCGGAGCUGGACUCAUGGGGCCUUCACUCGCAAUCGUCUGCUUCCCCCUGCAAACGCCGGACUGAGCCAUAUCGCUCCGUCUUUUUUUUUUUUCACUAACGAUCAAGCGCCACUUUGGCAGCGUACCCACGGGGAGCAAGGCAAGCUCUCCGCUCCCGGCUUGUCUGUCUAAGCGCUGCUGUCUCGGGCAAACGAGUUUAGCUACUCAAAAUUUGUGCCUUUUGCGCUCGUUUCAAAGGAGCGCUCUGGAGCGCAGGAAGAGCCGCAAAGUAGUGCGGGAAUCCCAGAAUCCGAGGUGGUGCCGUAACUCAUCCCAACCGGUUCUGCCGCGGCCACCUGCCUCGCAGCAAGCCAGUCCGCUGGCACUGAUGUAUACGCAGAAACGUUGGUUGGAAGAAAUGCAAUACCUUUAUUAGGCAGAGAAAGCCCAGCUGGAUUAACCUAGUCUGUUUUGGGAGAUUAAGAACUGGUGUGAGGUAGCAUGGGUCCGAAGUGGUGAGGGGACAGAGGGCUCCUCUUCCACCAGGUUCCCUUAACACGGGGUCUGGGGUGGGAGAAGGGGGACAGCCCUCCUUCCUCAGGCCUGCUUCCUUCCAAUCUAAAAUGGCCUUGCUCUAACGGGUGUUGGGAUCUGCACAUUCUCCUCCGCCCCGGACAGCACUAGAGCCAGAGAUGGACUUUCAGAGCUGCUUGGAGUACGAGUUUAGGGUUGUCCUUGCCUCAGGCAGCCCAGCUAUCACCGAGGACUGGAACUGAGU